Molecule: long non-coding RNA, 1237 nt
Filed under: Pan troglodytes (chimpanzee)
Lineage: Eukaryota; Metazoa; Chordata; Mammalia; Primates; Hominidae
Description: long non-coding RNA NONPTRT005326
Source: RNAcentral
ACAGGCAGAGGGAGGAUACAGAACAUCCUAGUCUUUUCUGAGGCACCCCGGUCCUCUCCCAGGCUGGCUUUGGGACGGCUGGAGAGAUUAAUUUUUUUACAACAUGAGUCCUGAAGGUUAGACAGUCCUGCGAUACAUAAAAUCAUCUUUUGCCACCCUCUAUGAUGAUACCAAUCCCGACUUUGGCCAACACUGACUCUCAACAACAGACUGGCAAUCUGGGCAUUUGCCUGUCUCUGAGAGAAGGAAUGGGACAGGCAUAUGUGGCUUCCUGCCCUGCACUUCCCCUGCACCCAAGCCACACAUGUGGGGCCCUUUCCCAUCCUCAAACCCCUCUGUAUGCACGUUCAGCCACCUCUUCUCAGGGUCACUUCUCACCAUCUGCAAGUCUCCUGGGAGCUAAGCACAGCCCUUUCUGGGUCUACUUCUAUCAGGAAACCUUCAGGAACCCCCGAGAGUGGUUUUUUUUUCUUGUUGUUUUUGGAGACAGAGUCAGAGGCAGUGAUGGGGUCAGGAGGCCUGGUGAACUGUCUCCUCAUGUCUGAAGAUUUGGCCUCUGUCGCUCCCGACCCAGAUCAGGCUGGGCCUGAUACCUGAGGGCAGCAGCUCCGCCUUCACCACGCUGAUCUCCACCUUCUUCCGGCUCAGGCUCACCAGCUUGUCACCUCCAUAGAUGAUUGCCGGGACCAGGAAGUAGAUGUGGAAAGUGGGCAGCUGGAUCAGAGCAUAGCUGCCGUGGAUGAUGAGCUGGAGACACGGCCAGUUAGUACAACUCAGGCCCAGCCAGGCCCCUGCCCGGCAUCCCCUCUUGCCCAGGCACUAGGCCUGUGCUGGGGAGAUAGGGCUGAGGUCUGGGGUCUUAAAUCUCAAAGUCUCAUUCUGAGAUCUUGGAUCCAAUUCUCCCUCUUUCACCUUCCUGUCCCAUCCUGAGCUCCCUGCUCCAUGGGCUGGCCCAGGGAAGUCCCUCACCAGGGCAUAGAGCAGGAUGUAGAGGUGGUGGGUCAGCCAGAAGCCCCGGAAGCUGCGGCGGCGGAAGUGGUGGGAGGCGAAGACAUACAUGAUGGCCAGGACCAGGAGCAGAAGCACACCUGUCAUACCUGGGGGCAGGAGGACAGGGCCAGUGAGUAGUCUCAGGACUUCAGCUUGGGCUGAAAAGACAACAGCACAUUCCCCUAUGCUUCCCUCCUUCCUCUCUCAUCCCUCCAGGGCCCCCAGAAAAGCCUGCCUGGAGGGAUUG